CCGUGCUAGAUGGGGAGUUAGCGGUGCCCUGUAACCCGGAAUCCGCUAUACCGGGGUCGAAUUCCCACCGGAGGUCUAAAACCGGCUUGUCUCUUUUUUGGUAAGUAGCGAUGAUGGUCAGGUCCUGCGCAAUCCGAGCUCGCCCAACCCGGUCAGGACCGGAAGGUAGCAGCCGUAAGCGAAGCCUCGGAGGUGCCGUAGGGUCGCCUGGCCGGAGCUGUCUGCCCCAAAAGUGCAGGUCGGGGCGGAUCGAAAGUGGGUGCACGG
This 267-nucleotide signal recognition particle RNA is filed under the name Candidatus Zixiibacteriota bacterium. RNAcentral describes it as "candidate division Zixibacteria bacterium signal recognition particle sRNA large type". It matches the Rfam family "Bacterial large signal recognition particle RNA". Rfam says of the family: The signal recognition particle (SRP) is a universally conserved ribonucleoprotein involved in the co-translational targeting of proteins to membranes. Lineage: Bacteria; Pseudomonadati; Candidatus Zixiibacteriota. RNAcentral also lists the same sequence under 1 other name. The record is from RNAcentral.